CGGAACAGCCUGCUAGUGAUAGCACAGAACUUAACGGAACGGCUUGGAAAGGCCGACGAUAGAGGGUGAUAGUCCCGUACGUGAAAAGAUCUGUGUGGUACUGAGCUAGCGAAAAGUAGGGCGGGACACGAGAAAUCCUGUCUGAAUAUGGGGGGACCAUCCUCCAAGGCUAAAUACUCGUAAUCGACCGAUAGUGAACUAGUACCGUGAGGGAAAGGCGAAAAGAACCCCGGGAGGGGAGUGAAAUAGAUCCUGAAACCGCAUGCUUACAAAAAGUAGGAGCCCGCAAGGGUGACUGCGUACCUUUUGUAUAAUGGGUCAGCGACUUACAUUCAGUGGCAAGGUUAACCGAAUAGGGUAGCCGUAGAGAAAAUCGAGUCCGAAUAGGGCGUCCAGUCGCUGGGUGUAGACCCCGAAAACCAAGUGAUCUAUCCAUGGCCAGGAUGAAGGUGCCGUAACAGGUACUGGAGGUCCGAACCGACUAGUGUUGCAAAACUAGCGGAUGAGCUGUGGAUAGGGGUGAAAGG
Molecule: ribosomal RNA, 527 nt
Filed under: uncultured bacterium
Lineage: Bacteria
Description: bacterial LSU rRNA
Rfam family: Bacterial large subunit ribosomal RNA
Source: RNAcentral